UGCUCAGCCCUAGGGCCGAGCGGGAGAUGUGCGGCGAGUGCAGAAGGGCGGACCCGGGAUGUCCCGGGUUUUCGAGCGGGGAGCCGCCUGCUGAAUGCCCUUCUGCUGCCCUCCGUUCCCGCGGCUCCCCUAGGAGCCCCGCCCCGUCCAACUCUUACCCGGGCUCAUCGCCGCGGCUCAUCUCUCUCGCAACCGCCGCCGCACGCACCCGCUCCGCCGCCCCGCGCAGGGCAUCCUGUCGCCAGCGCAUCCCUCAGAGGAGUUUCAGCAUUUGGGGAUUUGAACGGCCCAUGACCAAUAUUGUGAAAGGACUUUUGUUUGCUGCAAUGAAAAGAAGACUCCUAUUUUUCAAUAAUGAAUUAACCUAAACAUGUAUUAAAAUAUGCUCAUGAAA
This 394-nucleotide long non-coding RNA is filed under the name Homo sapiens (human). Its description in RNAcentral is "HSALNT0324249". Lineage: Eukaryota; Metazoa; Chordata; Mammalia; Primates; Hominidae. The record is from RNAcentral.